CCGGUAAACGGCGGCCGUAACUAUAACGGUCCUAAGGUAGCGAAAUUCCUUGUCGGGUAAGUUCCGACCUGCACGAAUGGCGUAAUGAUGGCCAGGCUGUCUCCACCCGAGACUCAGUGAAAUUGAACUCGCUGUGAAGAUGCAGUGUACCCGCGGCAAGACGGAAAGACCCCGUGAACCUUUACUAUAGCUUGACACUGAACAUUGAGCCUUGAUGUGUAGGAUAGGUGGGAGGCUUAGAAGUGUGGACGCCAGUCUGCAUGGAGCCGACCUUGAAAUACCACCCUUUAAUGUUUGAUGUUCUAACGUUGACCCGUGAUCCGGGUUGCGGACAGUGUCUGGUGGGUAGUUUGACUGGGGCGGUCUCCUCCUAAAGAGUAACGGAGGAGCACGAAGGUUGGCUAAUCCUGGUCGGACAUCAGGAGGUUAGUGCAAUGGCAUAAGCCAGCUUGACUGCGAGCGUGACGGCGCGAGCAGGUGCGAAAGCAGGUCAUAGUGAUCCGGUGGUUCUGAAUGGAAGGGCCAUCGCUCAACGGAUAAAAGGUACUCCGGGGAUAACAGGCUGAUACCGCCCAAGAGUUCAUAUCGACGGCGGUGUUUGGCACCUCGAUGUCGGCUCAUCACAUCCUGGGGCUGAAGUAGGUCCCAAGGGUAUGGCUGUUCGCCAUUUAAAGUGGUACGCGAGCUGGGUUUAGAACGUCGUGAGACAGUUCGGUCCCUAUCUGCCGUGGGCGCUGGAGAACUGAGGGGGGCUGCUCCUAGUACGAGAGGACCGGAGUGGACGCAUCACUGGUGUUCGGGUUGUCAUGCCAAUGGCACUGCCCGGUAGCUAAAUGCGGAAGAGAUAAGUGCUGAAAGCAUCUAAGCACGAAACUUGCCCCGAGAUGAGUUCUCCCUGACCCUUUAAGGGUCCUGAAGGA
Molecule: ribosomal RNA, 920 nt
Filed under: Escherichia coli
Lineage: Bacteria; Pseudomonadati; Pseudomonadota; Gammaproteobacteria; Enterobacterales; Enterobacteriaceae
Description: partial 23S ribosomal RNA
Rfam family: Bacterial large subunit ribosomal RNA
Source: RNAcentral